Molecule: ribosomal RNA, 405 nt
Filed under: uncultured bacterium
Lineage: Bacteria
Description: partial 16S ribosomal RNA
Rfam family: Bacterial small subunit ribosomal RNA
Source: RNAcentral
GAUGAACGCUGUCGGCGUGCCUAAUACAUGCAAGUCGAGCGAAGCGGGGACGGGUGAGUAACACGUGGAUAACCUCCUAUAAGACUGGGAUAACUUCGGGAAACCGGAUCUACACCGGAUACUUAUAUAUGGAUCCGCGCUGCAUUAGCUAGUUGGUAAGGUAACGGCUUACAAAGGCAACGAUGCAUAGCCGACCUGAGAGGAUGAUCAGCCACACUGGAACUGAGAAACGGUCCAGACUCCUACGGACGGACGCAGUAGGAAAUCGUCCGCAAUGGGCGAAAGCCUGACGGAGCAACGCCGCGUGAGUGAUGAAGGUCUUCGGAUCGUAAAACUCUGUUAUAAGGGAAGCGGUACCUAAUCAGAAAGCCACGGCUAACUACGUGCCAGCAGCCGCGGUAAUUC